Long non-coding RNA from Diceros bicornis minor, 2128 nucleotides. RefSeq lists it as uncharacterized. The record is from RefSeq and is a predicted model, not a curated record. The transcript is spliced from 2 exons. NCBI's taxonomy places the organism in Eukaryota, Metazoa, Chordata, Mammalia, Perissodactyla, Rhinocerotidae.
UCCAGGUGCACCACUCUCCAAGCACUCCUUGUCAUUGCCAAUCUGGAAGCUCUCUGAAACUCAUUCUAUUGGGAUUUUUAUGGAGGCUCCCUCAUGUAGGCAUGAUCAAUUAUUAACUCAGUUUCUAGCCUCUCUGCCCUCUCUGGAGGAUAAGGGAUAGGACUAAAAAUUCCAAGCUUCUAAUCGGGGCUUGGUCUUUCUGGUGACCAGCCCCCAUCCAGGAGACAUCCAGGAGCCCACCCAGAGUUGCCUCAAUAGAAGAAAUGAUUCUCCUAGUGUUCUUAUCACUUAGGAAAUUACAAGGGUUUUAGGAGCUCUGUGUCAGGGAUGGGGUCAAAGACAAAUAUUAGAACAAGAGAUGUUCCUAGUGUUCUUAUCAUUUAGGAAAUUACAAGGAUUUUAGGAGCUCUGUGCCAGGAACUGGAGACAGAGAUCCAUAAAUAUAUUUUCUGUUAUUUCAGAACCCAUAGGUGGAAUUUCUAGAUCAUAUGGUAAUUCUAUUUUUCAUUUUUGAAGGAACUGCCAUACUGUUUUCCACAGUUUUAUAUUCUCACCAUCCAAGCACAAGGGUUCCAAUUUUUCAAAAUCCUUGCCAACACUUGUUAUUUUCUGAUUUUGUGAUAGUAAAACUAUUCUAAUGUGUGUGAAGAGGUAUCUCAAUGUGGUUUUAUUUUGCAUUUUCCUGAUACUUAGUGAUGUUGAGCAUCUUUUCACGUGUUUACUGGUCAUUUUAUGUCUUUGGAGAAAUGUCUAUUCAAGUCCUUUGUGCAUUUUUAAAUUGGGUUGUUUUUUUAUUGUUGAGUUGUGGGAGUUCUUUAUAUAUUCUAGAUAUUAAUCCCUUAUCAGAUAUGUGAUUUGCAAAUAUUUUCAACCAUUCUGUGGGUUGCCUUUUUACUUUGUUAAUAGUAUCUUGUGAUACAGAAAACUUUUGCAUUUUGAUGAAGUCCAAUUUGUUGUUUUUUUGUUGUUGCUUAUGUCUUUGGUGUCAUAUUAAAGAAAUCAUUGUUGGCAAUGGCAUUUGGACCCAAUGACAUGCAGCUUUUACCCUGUGUUUUCUUCUAAGGAUUUUAUAGCUUCAGCUCUAAUAUUAGAUCUUUGAUCCAUUUUGAGUUAAUUUUUGUAUAUGGUGUAAGGUAAGGGUCCAAUCUCAUUCUUUUGCAUGUGGUCAUCUAGUUUUCCCAUCACUAUUUGUUGAAAAACUUAUCCUUUCUCCAAUGAAUGGUUUUUGCACCCUUGUCAAAAAUCAUUUGACUGUAUAUGAAAAGGUUUAUUUCUGGGCUCUCUAUACUAUUUCAUUAGUAUAUUGUGUGUAUUUAUGCCAGUACCACACUGUUUUGAUUACUUUGUAGUAAGUUUUGAAAUCAGGAAGUGUGACUUCUCUAAAUUGUUCUUCUUUUUCUACAUUCUUUUGGCUAUUUAGGGUCCCUUGAGAGUCCAUAUGAAUUUUAGGAUAGAUUUUUCUAUUUGUGCAAAAAACAUCAUUGGAAUUUUUACCUCCUUGAGUUCUCCGCCACCAACUUCCAUAACCAUCAGGAUAUUCUACAACUUCUGCAAGAGUAACAGUUUUACCUUACACUGUAUUUGUCUCGUGUGGUUUAAAACAUCCAGAAAUCAUUGAUAAACUGACCCUGCCCAAACUAAAGCAUGGUGAGUUAUAAAAGAUGGUCGCUGUUAAGUGGGGAGUGAUUGCAGGUUGAACUUAAUUUUAUAAGUGGUCAAUUUAUUACAAUAUAUUGUUCUAUUAUCUAUUUCACUUCUUUUUUUAAAAAAGUGAUAUUUGAGGGCACUUAGAUAAUAAAAAGUUGAGAAGAUAACGAACUGAUAUACUCUGUAAGCUUGAAAUGUUUUCAAACAUAAGCUACAAUAAGAACUAAAACUAAGAAAUGGCAGAGGAAAUAGAGAUAAGAAGAUGAAAUUGCAAAACUGAAUCUAUAAUAAUAUCUCAAUGGCUAGCGCUGUAGUGCCAAGAAGGUGGUGAAGUCAAAGAAUUCGUAAAGAUGAUAAUAGACUGCAAAGAAAAAAGACUGAAAUUUUUGUAGAGAGAAUUUUUACAGCGAUAUUACAGAUAGAGAACAGGGAAGAGAAGUUGGAGUGAGAGACUAUCUUCUUAAAUUACUUCCACUGUAGA